Molecule: long non-coding RNA, 1657 nt
Organism: Gallus gallus (chicken)
Lineage: Eukaryota; Metazoa; Chordata; Aves; Galliformes; Phasianidae
Source: Ensembl
AGUCGCGAGACGUUAGUACGCAUGCGCGGCCACCGAGAUGGCAGUACGCAUGCGCGACGUUAUAGAAGGUAGUACGCAUGCGCGAGUUUCUAGACGGCAGUACGCAUGCGCGGCAUUACGGACAACAGUACGCAUGCGCGAGACGGCAGUACGCAUGCGCGUGGAUCGAGACGUUAGUACGCAUGCGCGAGGUUCCAGACGGCAGUACGCAUGCGCGAGUUUCGAGACGGCAGUACGCAUGCGCGUGCCUGGAGAUGGUAGUACGCAUGCGCGAGGUUCGAGACGGCAGUACGCAUGCACAACAUUCUGGACGGCAGUACGCAUGCGGGAGACGCGAGCCGGUAGUACACAUGCGCGAGGCUCGAGACGGCAGUACGCAUGCGCGAGCCGCGAGACGGCACUACGCAUGCGCGAGCCUGGAAACGGCAGUACGCGUGCGCGACCCAAGAAACGGCAGUACGCAUGCGCGUUACGCCAGACGGUAGUGCGCAUGCGUGAGCUUUUAGGCAGCUGUACGCAUGGGCGACAUCAUGGACGGCAGUACGCAUGCGCGAGCGUCGAGCCGGCAGUACGCAUGCGCGACAUUACGGACGAUAGUACGCAUGCGCGAGGUUCGAGACGGCAGUACGCAUGCGCGACAGUAUGGACGGCAGUCCGCAUGCGCGAGCGUCGAGCCGGCAGUACGCAUGCUCGAGUUUCGAGACGUUAGUACGCAUGCGCGAGGUUCGAGAUGGCAGUACGCAUGCGCGAACGUCGAGCCGUCAGCACGCAUGCGCGACAUUAUGGACGGCAGUACGCAUGCGCGAGCCUGGAGACGGUAGUACGCAUGCCCCACAGCAUAGACAGCAAUACGCAUGCGCGAGUUUCGAGACGGCAGUACGCAUGCGCGACAUCAUAGACAGCAGUACGCAUGCGCCAGACGCGAGCAAGUAGUACGCAUGCGCGAGUUCCGAGACGGCAGUACGCAUGCGCCACAUUAUGGACCGCAUUACGCAUGCGCGAGCCCCGAGACGGCAAUACUCAUGCGUGAGCAGCGAUAGGGCAGUACGCAUGCGCGGCAUUAUGGACAGCUGUACGCAUGCGUGACAUCAUGGACAGCAGUACGCAUGCGCUAGCUUCUAGACGGCAGUACGCAUGCGCGACGUUUUAGACGGCUGUACGCAUGCGCGACGUCAUAAAUGGUAGUACGCAUGCGCGAGCUUCGAGGGGGUAGUACGCAUGCGCGUGUUUCUAGACGGCAGUACGCGUGCGCGACAUUUUGGACCGCAGUACGCAUGCGCGAGCCGCGAGACGGCAUACGCAUGCGCGAGCCGCGGGACGGCAGUACGCAUGCGUACUUCCUCUUGCGCCAAACUGCCGGGCCUGCAGUUCCGCCUUUUGGCCACUAGAUGGCAUUAGAGACCGCCGCAACCUUUCCGACGCAGUUUUCCUGUUUGGCCUUUAGGUGGCAGCAGAUACCGUGGAAACAACAACUCUGCCGCCUUUUAGCGGACUGCCUGGGACCGUGGGCGCGCAUCCCCUCCUCUCUUUUUUUUCUUGGCAGAGGAUGGUGGGAGGAAGAAGGGGAGACGACAAAGAAAAGCAAGGAAAACUUCGACAAACCCUCCAACCCCGUGCUAAAUGCUUUGGUAUACCUGUAAAUAAAUGAAUACAUAAC